Molecule: ribosomal RNA, 254 nt
Filed under: uncultured bacterium
Lineage: Bacteria
Description: partial 16S ribosomal RNA
Rfam family: Bacterial small subunit ribosomal RNA
Source: RNAcentral
UACGGGGGGGGGCAAGCGUUGUUCGGAAUUACUGGGCGUAAAGGGCCAGUAGGCGGCCAACUAAGUCCGACGUGAAAUCCCAAGGCUUAACCUUGGAACUGCGUCGGAUACUGGAUGGCUUGAAUUCGGGAGAGGGAUGCAGAAUUCCAGGUGUAGCGGUGAAAUGCGUAGAUAUCUGGAGGAAUACCGGUGGCGAAGGCGGCAUCCUGGACCGAGAUUGACGCUGAACGGCGAAAGCUAGGGGAGCAAACGGG